CCAGACUCCUACGGGAGGCAGCAGUGAGGAAUAUUGGUCAAUGGCCGGGAGGCUGAACCAGCCAAGUCGCGUGAGGGAAGACGGCCCUACGGGUUGUAAACCUCUUUUGUCGGGGAGCAAAGCGAGUCACGUGUGACUCAUUGAGAGUACCCGAAGAAAAAGCAUCGGCUAACUCCGUGCCAGCAGCCGCGGUAAUACGGAGGAUGCGAGCGUUAUCCGGAUUUAUUGGGUUUAAAGGGUGCGUAGGCGGGAUGUUAAGCGGGGGGUAAAAGCCCGGGGCUCAACCCCGGCGAGCCGUUGAAACUGGCUGUCUUGAGAUGUCGAGAGGUAUGCGGAAUGCGUGGUGUAGCGGUGAAAUGCAUAGAUAUCACGCAGAACUCCGAUUGCGAAGGCAGCAUACCGGCGCCCAACUGACGCUGAAGCACGAAAGCGUGGGUAUCGAACAGGAUUAGAUACCCGCGUACA
RNAcentral lists this ribosomal RNA (465 nucleotides) under uncultured bacterium. RNAcentral's name for it is "bacterial SSU rRNA". It matches the Rfam family "Bacterial small subunit ribosomal RNA", at positions 331 to 794 of the family's 1533-position model. The record is from RNAcentral.